CAUGUAGGCGGUUUGCUAAGUCGGACGUGAAAGCUCCUGGCUCAACUAGGAGAGGUCGUUCGAAACUAGUAGACUAGAGGGUGGUAGAGGAGAGCGGAAUUCCAGGUGUAGCGGUGAAAUGCGUAGAUAUCUGGAGGAACACCAGUGGCGAAAGCGGCUCUCUGGCCCACUCCUGACGCUGAGAUGCGAAAGCCAGGGGAGAGAACG
This 207-nucleotide ribosomal RNA is filed under the name uncultured bacterium. Its description in RNAcentral is "partial 16S ribosomal RNA". It matches the Rfam family "Bacterial small subunit ribosomal RNA", at positions 568 to 774 of the family's 1533-position model. The record is from RNAcentral.